RNAcentral lists this unclassified non-coding RNA (355 nucleotides) under soil metagenome. Its description in RNAcentral is "partial contains 5.8S ribosomal RNA, internal transcribed spacer 2, and large subunit ribosomal RNA". The stretch from base 1 to 120 matches the Rfam family "5.8S ribosomal RNA", at positions 35 to 154 of the family's 154-position model. The record is from RNAcentral.
GAUGAAGAACGUAGCGAAAUGCGAUAAGUAAUGUGAAUUGCAGAAUUCAGUGAAUCAUCGAAUUUUUGAACGCACAUUGCGCCCGCCAGUAUUCUGGCGGGCAUGCCUGUCCGAGCGUCAUUUCAACCCUCGAACCCCUCCGGGGGGUCGGCGUUGGGGAUCGGCCCUGCCUCUUGGCGGUGGCCGUCUCCGAAAUACAGUGGCGGUCUCGCCGCAGCCUCUCCUGCGCAGUAGUUUGCACACUCGUAUCGGGAGCGCGGCGCGUCCACAGCCGUUAAACACCCAACUUCUGAAAUGUUGACCUCGGAUCAGGUAGGAAUACCCGCUGAACUUAAGCAUAUCAAUAAGCGGAGGA